RNAcentral lists this unclassified non-coding RNA (288 nucleotides) under Dictyosporium sp. Its description in RNAcentral is "partial contains 5.8S ribosomal RNA, internal transcribed spacer 2, and large subunit ribosomal RNA". The stretch from base 1 to 71 matches the Rfam family "5.8S ribosomal RNA", at positions 84 to 154 of the family's 154-position model. Lineage: Eukaryota; Fungi; Ascomycota; Dothideomycetes; Pleosporales; Dictyosporiaceae. The record is from RNAcentral.
GUGAAUCAUCGAAUCUUUGAACGCACAUUGCGCCCCUUGGUAUUCCAUUGGGCAUGCCUGUUCGAGCGUCAUUUACACCCUCAAGCUUUGCUUGGUGUUGGGCGUCUGUCCUCGCUUCGUGCGACGACUCGCCCCAAAUCCAUUGGCAGCGACUUCGCCGGCUUCUCGCGCAGCACAAUGCGCUAGGGAAGGCUCCCGGCGGGAUCUCGUCCAUUAAGAUACCACCCAGUUUGACCUCGAAUCAGGUAGGGAUACCCGCUGAACUUAAGCAUAUCAAUAAGCGGAGGA